UACGGAGGGGGCUAGCGUUGUUCGGAAUUACUGGGCGUAAAGCGCACGUAGGCGGACCAUCAAGUUGGGGGUGAAAUCCCGGGGCUCAACCCCGGAACUGCCUCCAAAACUGCUGGUCUGGAGGUCGAGAGAGGUGAGUGGAAUUCCGAGUGUAGAGGUGAAAUUCGUAGAUAUUCGGAGGAACACCGGUGGCGAAGGCGGCAUCCUGGACCAAUUCUGACGCUGAGGAGCGAAAGCCAGGGGAGCAAACGGG
This 253-nucleotide ribosomal RNA is filed under the name uncultured bacterium. RNAcentral's name for it is "partial 16S ribosomal RNA". It matches the Rfam family "Bacterial small subunit ribosomal RNA", at positions 524 to 776 of the family's 1533-position model. The record is from RNAcentral.